GCAUAUAAACAGCUAGUAAUGCAUUUCCUUUCCCAAUUUCCUUUUGUUAUCCUUACCACUUUACCAGCUGGCAGAGAGCCUUCCUUUUCCGAUUCUCUAUUUCCUUUCCUCAUUCCCAAUCUCCGAUCCAUCCCUAAAAACAACUGACGAGAGAUCGAUGAUGAUGAAGAUGCCUUGGAGGAGGAAGAGCAGGAGCUUCCAUCUUCAGCUAUUCUUAUUUACCAAUUAUUGUCAUUCUUCUACUUCCACACUUGAAGAUGCACGCUUCUUGACAAAUAACUUCAAAUCUGCUUCUUUUACCCGCCUUGAUGAUGCCAUUGCUUCCUUCAAUCAUGUAAUUCAUAAGCAUCCUCUGCCUUCUAGGGUUCCAUUUAAUAGAUUUUUAUCUGCCCUUGUGAAAAUGAAACAAUAUCACACUGUCCUUUCCAUGUCCAAAACAAUUGAAUUGGUAGGGAUCUCUCACGAUGUUUAUUCUCUAAGCAUCUUAAUUAAUUGCUUCUGCCAUUUACACCUUGUGGAUUGUGGCUUCUCUGUUUUUGGUAAGAUGCUUAAAUUCGGAUUGGAGCCUACCACUGUGACAUUUAAUACCUUAAUUAAUGGGCUUUGUAUAGAGAGUAAAAUCGACAAAGCAGUGGAAUUUUUCGAUGAUAUGGUUGCACGUGGUUAUCAACCUAAUGUUUAUACUUACAGUGUGAUAGUAAACGGAAUGUGUAAAUUUGGGAAAACAAACGUGGCUAUUGGGCUACUAAAGGGAAUGGCUGAUAGAGGUUGUGAGCCAGAUGUUGUGACAUACAAUGCAAUCAUUGACGCCCUUUGCAAAGACGAGCUAGUUGGUGAGGCUUUAGACUCUUCUUUCAAAUGAGGAAUAAGGGCAUUUCACCUAAUGUCAUCACUUACAAGCUUCAUAUUCGCUUAGAGUUCGCUCCAAGAAAUAUAGCCAUCCCUACCCCCUCACGUCAAUAAGUUUAAUUCAUGGUGUUUGCAAAUUAGGCCAAAAGAACCAAGCUUUGGCCUUGAUGAAUGAAAUGGUGGAGCAAAACAUAUUACCAAAUGUUUAUACCUUCAGUGUAUUGAUUGAUGCUCUUUGUAAGGAUGGAAUGGUUUCAGAGGCUCAAAAUACAUUCAAUGUAAUGAUUCAAAGAGGUGUAGAGCCUGAUGUGGUCACCUACAAUUCCUUAAUUGAUGGUCUUUGCAUUUCAGACCAAUUCAAGGAAGCUUUGGCUUUGUUGAAAGAAAUGGUGGGGAGGAACAUAUCCCCUGAUGUUUUUACCUUCAAUAUAUUGAUCGACACUCUUUGUAAGAAAGGACUGGUUUCAAAUGCACAGAAUAUAAUCAAGAUAAUGAUUCAAAGAGGUGUGGAACCUGAUGUUGUCAAUUAUAAUUCAUUGAUGGAUGGAUAUUGUCUGUGCAAGCAAAUUGAUAAGGCUAGAAAGCUAUUUGAUCUGAUGGUGACCAAUGAAAUAGCUGACUUUUUUAGCUACAGCAUUUUGGUCAAUGGAUAUUGUAAGUGCAAAAUGAUAGAUGAUGCAAUGGAACUUUUUGGUGAAAUGUCUCAUAAAGGUUUAGUUCCUGAUGCUGUUACUUAUUGUACUCUUUUAAAGGGUAUGUUUCAAGCAGGGAGGCCCCAAAAUGCAAAAGAGCUCUUUAAGGAUAUGUGCUCUCAUGGUCAACAGCCAAAUAUAGUAACUUUCUCAAUUAUGAUUGAUGGCUUGUGUAGACAGGGGAAUCUCGAUGAGGCACUCACACUAUUGAAAGCAAUGGAGAAAAGUCAGUUGAAGCCUAAUCUUGUGAUCUAUAGCAGUCUGAUCAAUGGUAUGUGCAAAGUUGGGAAGAUUAAUGAUGCCAAGGAACUUUUUUCUAGUCUUUUUGAAAUUGGUUUACAACCUGAUGUUUAUGUAUACAGUGCAAUUAUGAAAGGACUCUGCCAACAAGGAUUCAUGGAUGAAGCGUAUAAGGUAUUUAAAGACAUGGAAAAGGUAGGAUGUUUACCAAAUAAUUGUUGUUAUAAUAUCAUCAUUCAAGGGUUUCUCAAGCAUGAGGAUUUACCAAAAGCAUCAGAACUAAUCAACGAAAUGGUUGAUAAGGGGUUCUCUGCUGAUGCUACUACCACAGAAUUGGUAGUACGUUUAUCGCAGAAUAAUGAUCUCAUUCUAAGCAAACUACGAAGUCGUUCUGAGGCUUCUAAAGGGGUGCAAUGAGGGAUCAGCAAACUAAAGUUGUUAUAUCUUGACCGUUCAAUGGUGUCUUGGAGAGAAACUUGGUAAUUACCUUCUUCAAAUGUAGUAGAUAUGUAAUUUAACUAACUUCAAAUUUCAUGUUUAAUUUCAAUCAGCUGUGAUUCUCUUCCACAAAACAAAAAUUUCUAACACUGUACCUGCAGUGGAAACCAUGAUAUGUGUGUGCCUUUCUCUUGAACUCAGACAUGGACUAGACCUCUUUGGAUAUAAGCUUGUUGAUGAAUGGAGGUCAUAGAUUUCUAAUGUUCAAGUUGCUGGUAAACCCACCAUCUUCCUUACAAUUUUUUUUUGGGCUGCUACUACAGCCUUAACUCGAGAGCUUAGUCCUAAAAAUGAGUUGAGAACUAAAACUAAUUGAUUCCAUGCUAUAAUGCUUAAGAAUCUUUAUCUAUUUUACUUUUGUACUCAAUGACCUUUUAAGAUGCUAUCAUUUUUCAGUAAACAUGCUGCAUUAGGACAAUAACUUGGAGAUUUUAUCAUAUAUUUUGAUUUUUACUUGGAAGAAUGCAGGUGUUAAAUCAGUGAACUAGCAGGUGUUAACACCUGCUUUCUGUAUCAUUUUACCAUAGCUACUCGUGCCUGUUUCCGUCCAUUAGAAUUUAACUCCUACUAGUUUAUCAUAUACAUGCAUUACAUGUAAUAAAUUUAUGCUCCCAAAAUGAUUUCUAUUUAUUGCUAGUUUAUUACUUGUAGUAAGUUUAUGCUCAAAAUAAUUAUAUUUAUUUCUCCUUGAGUUAAUACUUAUAACUUGAACUAGAGUUAAUACUUACUCCUUGAGUGCAAGUUUUAACACCUACUUGUUGAGUUUAAGUAUUAAUUUGAGUUUUUGCAACAGGUACAUUUGAGCUUGAGCAUGGUGCAGUAUCUCUUCCACCAGUCCACCGGUCUUUUCCCGCAUGCCUGAGAUGAAGAUGGAUUAGAUGAGCAAAUCGAGGAUUUUUGUUGAUUACUUGUUGUACAAUUUUUGGGUUACUAUUUGUUUUGGCAUUUACUACAAAAAUAUACUUUUAAUUAUACAUUUUUUGUGGUUGUACUAGAUUAUUUAUGUUCAAUUUUAAGUUCAAAAGACUUUUUUUUUAUUAUAAUUGAAUACAUUAGAUUUGUGGUUGAUUUGUGUUAUAUUAUGCAUUUAAUAGUUUGGGUUUGUGAUAUUUGUAAUUAUUUUGGAUUGGUUAAAUAAAAAUUUCAAACGAAAAUGCAAUUGAAAAUCUGGUUCAAAUUUCGUAAAGGGUGUAAAGAAGCAACAUCGAGUCACUUUGCUUUGUAGAUGAUUUGUUUUUGUUUUGUCAUGGGGCUAGGAAUUUGGUCUGUGGGCUGGAGAGGCCUUGAAGUUGAGGAGGUUUUAGGAUGGCAAGUAAAUGAGUCUAAGAGCUGUGUUUAUCUUGCAAGAGUGCUAGAGGAGAUGAAGCAGCAAAUUCUACAAUUCCUCAAUUUCAGGGAGGGAUUUCUUCCUGUUAUCUAUUUGGGAUUACCUCUGGUAUCUACUAGUAUUAAAAAAGAGCAUUGUCAGAAGCUUAUUAGUAUAAUAACUAGUAGAAUUGACUCAUGGUAUGCUAAAUAAUUAUCCUAAGCUGGUAGGGUACAUGGUGAGGAAUAAGUUGAAAAGCCUCAGUUUUUGGGGAUCUCUAAACCUAGUAAUGCUAGUUGAUCUUGAAAGAAUCUGGUGAAAAUUAGAGAUUGUUUUAGAAAGCAUUAUGCAUAUAAGUUGGGAAGAGGGGUUUUUCAUUUUGGUAUGACCCUUGCAUGGGUGGGAAAAGUCUUGUUGAGAGGUCUCUGAGUUGAAUAUGGGAUAUUCUGACAUCAUAGGCAUACUAAGGUGAGGGAGGUUUGGAGGGAUGGUAUGUGGAGGCUUCCUAAUCCAUUGGAUUCCACUAUGGAAGGAGCCUGGGAAGAGGUUCGAAAAUAUUAUGUAAGCAGUGAAUGGGCAGAUUCUAUUAAAUGGAAACUCAUAGACUUACACUGUUAAUAGUGCUUGGAAAGUCCUAAGAAGGAAGGGUGGAGUGGUUAAUUGGUGGAAGGUGGUUUGGGGUGAGCGUAUUCCCAGGCACAGUUUUAUAACCUGGUUAGCUAUCCAUAAUAGACUUGUUGUCAAAUCGAGUCUACUUAGAUGAGGAAUGGUAAAUAAUUCGUGGUUUUGCUUCUGAUUACUUAAUAUUAAUUAGAUUAAUAAUAACUAAUAGAUAAAAAUAUCUGAAGGAAAGAAACAUUUAUAAAGAUAAGUGUGUAAGAUCUAUAUGAUUACUUAAUAUUAAUUAGAUUAAUGAUUUCCGAUCGAAAAAGGUGAAGCAAGUGAAAAAACUUAUGUAAAUCUUUAUCUAUUUUUAUUUUUGUGUUCAAUGACCUUUUAAAAUGCUAUCAUUUCUCUUGUAGGUACUUGAAAGGAUAUGAUUAAUUAUUAUAUUUUUAAUAAUAAUGAUUAUAAAUGCAAGAUGUAGGAUAUACAAUCAUAGAGUACAAAGACUACAUUAGACUACAUUAUAAAUGCAAGAUGCAGGAUAUACAAUCGUAGAGUACAUUAUAAAUGCAAGAUGCAGGAUAUGAUUAAUUUAACAAUUAGACUACAUUAUAAAUGCAAGAUGCAGGAUAUACAAUCGUAGAGUACAUUAUAAAUGCAAGAUGCAGGAUAUGAUUAAUUUAACAAUUAGACUACAUUAUAAAUGCAAGAUGCAGGAUAUGAUUAAUUUAACAAUUAGACUACAUUAUAAAUGCAAGAUGCAGGAUAUACAAUCGUAGAGUACAAAGACUACAUUAAUACCUUAAUUAAUGGGCUUUGUAUGGACAGUAAAAUCGAUAAAGCAGUGGAAUGUUUCGAUGAUAUGGUUGCACAUGGUUAUCAACCUGAUGUUCGUACUUACAGUGUGAUAAUAAACGGAUUGUGUAAAUUUGGGAAAACAAAUGUGGCUAUUGGGCUACUAAAGGGAAUGGCUGAUAGAGGUUGUGAGCCAAAUGUUGUGACAUACAGUGCAAUCAUUAACGCCCUUUGCAAGGAUGAGCUAGUUGGUGAGGCUUUAGAGCUCUUCUCUCAAAUGAGGAAUAAGGGCAUUUCACCUGAUGUCAUCACUUACAAUAGUUUAAUUCACGGUGUUUGCAAAUUAGGUCAAAAGAACCAAGCUUUGGCCUUGAUGAAUGAAAUGGUGGAGCAAAACAUAUUACCAGAUGUUUAUACCUUCAGUGUAUUGAUUGACGCUCUUUGUAAGGAUGGAAUGGUUGCAGAGGCUCAAAAUACAUUCAAUGUAAUGAUUCAAAGAGGUGUGGAACCUGAUGUUGUCACUUAUAAUUCAUUGAUGGAUGGAUAUUGUCUGUGCAAGCAAAUUGAUAAGGCUAGAAAGGUAUUUGAUCUGAUGGUGACCAAUGAAAUAGCUGACAUUUUUAGCUACAGCAUUUUGAUCAACGAAUAUUGUAAGUGCAAAAUGAUAGAUGAUGCAAAGAAAUUUUUUGAUGAAAUGUCUUAUAAAGGUUUAGUUCCUAAUGUUGUUACUUAUCAUACUCUUAUAAAGGGUAUGUUUCAAGCAGGGAGGCCCCAAAAUGUAAAAGAGCUCUUUAAGGAUAUGUGCUCUCAUGGUCAACAGCCAGAUAUAGUAACCUUCUCAAUUAUGAUUGAUGGCUUGUGUAGACAAGGGAAUCUUAAUGAAGCACUCACACUAUUGAAAGCAAUGGAGAAAAGUCAAUUGAAGCCUAAUUUUGUGAUCUAUAGCAGUCUGAUCAAUGGUAUGUGCAAAGUUGGAAAGAUUAAUGAUGCCAAGGCACUGUUUUCUAGUCUUUUUGAAAUUGGUUUACAGCCUGAUGUUUGUGUAUAUAAUGCAAUUAUGAAAGGACUCUGCCAACAAGGAUUAAUGGAUGAAGCUUAUAAGUUAUUUAAAGACAUGGAAAAGGUAGGAUGUUUACCAAAUAAUUGUUGUUAUAAUAUCAUCGUUCAAGGGUUUCUCAAGUAUGAGGAUUUACCAAAAGCAUCAGAACUAAUCAACGAAAUGGUUGAUAAGGGGUUCUCUACUGAUGAUGCUACCACAGAAUUGGUAGUACAUUUAUCGCAGAAUAAUAAUCUCAUUCUGAGGCUUUUAAAGGUGCGCAAUGAGGGAUCAUCAAACUAAAGUUGUUAUAUCUUGACCAUUCAAGUGUAUCUUGGAGCGCAACUUGGUGAUUACCUUUUUCAAAUAUAAUAGAUAUGUAAUUUAACUAACUUCUUCAAAUAUCAUUUUUAAUUUCAAUCAGCUGUGUUUCUCUUCAACAAAACGAAGUGGUGGAAACCAUGUUAUGUGUGUGCCUUUCGCUUGAAUUCAGACAUGGACUAGAUCCCUUUGAUAUAAGAUUGUUGAUGAAUGGAGGUCAUGGAUUUCUAAUCAUCAAGUUGCUGGUAAACCCACCAUCUCCAUCACAAUUUUUGGUUUAUUGGGGUUUGAUCCUUGAUGAAAUUUCUAUUCCUCUAGGUUGUUUAGAUGUAUAUAAUCUUGUAUUAAAUACUUCCAUUGAUUAAUUCAGUUGAGAUGCUUGUGUUUGGAUGUUACAUAGUUUCAACCAAUUCUUAUGACCUCCUCAAUUUUACUUGUAAGAGCUGCUAGGAGUUUUAUUUUCUUGAAAAUUGAUUAAAUCCUCAAGACCUCUAAGUUGGUAUACAGAUGGAAAGUUGGCAACACUCUUAAGAAGCUCCGGGAUCGCAAGCUUUAUUAUCCUUUCUUUCAAGGUUCAUCCCCUCAGAAUCCCACCGAAAUUACUUAGCAUUUUGUCUUUUCAAAUUAGUUGUUUCUUUUUAAUUUACUAAAAAUUGUUUCUUCUCUGCAAUCUGCAUUUUAUAUGUGUUUUUAGCUAUUUACUAAGAACUGGAUAUAUGUAGAAGUUUAACCAAGUUUCAGUAAUUCAGUUUUAACUGUUUAUGUUAAUAGCUUUCAUUAAUAGCAUUAGUUUGUUAGAUUUCUAUUAUAAGUUUGUUAACUGUGAAGUUAGUUAGCUUUUAGUAAGAAGCUAAAUUAAUUUUCCCGCCAAUGUUAGAUGAUGCGCCGCUCAAUUCUUUUCUUGUAUAAAUACCUCACUUAUAAAUCUUCUCAUUAAUGAAUGGAAUAUAGAAUUUUUCUCUUAAUGUGAUAUCAAAGCAACUAAGACUCGUGAUCCAGAACUUUUUUUAUUGGCAGUUAUUUUUCUUCUUUUUUCUUCUUAAAUUUCUCUACAAUUUCCUUGAUCUUCUUCAUUUUUUAUCAUUUUUCAUACUGAUCCUACGAAGAUAACUACUAAUCAUACUGUUGAAGUUGUUGAAUCAUCUAAUACAGAUUUAAUUACAUCUAAAUCUAAGAUAGACACAGUUAUUUUUCUUCUUUCUUCUUUCUAAAUUUCUCUGCAAUUUUCUUGAUCUUUUUCAUUUUUCAUCAUUUUUCAUACUGAUUCUACGAAGAUGACUACUAAUCCUACUGCUCAAGUUGUUGAAUCAUACAGAUCUAAUUUCGUCUAAAUCUAAGAUAGACACAGUUAUUUUUCUUCUUUCUUCUUCCUAAAUUUCUCUGCAAUUUCCUUGAUCUUCUCCAUUUUUCAUCAUUUUUCAUAUUGAUCCCACGAAUAUGACUACUAAUCCUACUGCUCAAGUUGUUGAAUCAUCUAAUACAGAUCUAAUUACAUCUAAAUCUAAGAUUGACUUGUUGAAUUCUGAUUCCCCAAGCCAGAUUCUAGUAAGUACUCCUUUGACUGAAUUCAAUUACCUCUCUUGGAAUAGAUCUAUGAUAAUUGUUUUGACUGCAAAACAUAAAAUAGGAUUCAUAGAUGGAACAUGUAAGAAUUUACUUUUUCAUCGUCCACUAUGAAAAUUUAUUAAAAUGCAAAUAGAAUUUACAAAUAGGUAUAAAUUCAUUUAUAAAUGUUAUUUCACAAAAUCCACAUUAAUGAGUUUGUAAUGGUUUAAUAAAUAGAUUAAAUGGUCCAUGCCGUUAAUAUGUUAAUUGAAUAGUUAGCGGUACAAAAUUACCUGAGAGUUAAUAUAAUAAAAAACUCUAAUACCCAAAAUAGUUAUGGCACUUGGAGAGAGAAAUAAGAGCAUUUCCCUCUAUUAACUUUGUCCAUAUAAAACACAUCAUUAUCUGUCCAAAGAGAGUGGGGUAGAGCAAUGAGAGAAAACAUCCAUUUAUUUGACAGUUUUAAAUUUGGUUGCACAAAAAUAGAAUGGAGCUUUUGGAAUUAGAGGAACGCUUGUAUUUUGGAGGGCAAACUCAAAGCGGCAAUACGGUAAUUAAUCUAGCUUUGAGAAGGAGAUAUCUCAACGUCAAUUAGACAUUAUAUGAGUCCUACCAGAGAUUUUUAUAUUUUACUUCUGAUUAGAUUGUGAAGAAGAAGAUUCAUAUAUCACGUAGACAACUAGUUAUAGGGUUUUGCUAUCACUUUUCUCGUACUAAAUUAAAUAUAAAAGAAAAUUUUUUGUUAAUAAUCACAAAUGUUUUCUCUAUGCUAUAAAAUCCGAGUAUCAUAUAAUAUAUCGUCAAGGAACAUGCUACUUUAACUAUUCAAGCGGAGUGGAGAGCGAAAUGCUAGGAAAAGCUAUAGUGAAGGAAGUACAUGUCCAUAAAGACAUACAAUUCUCCAUAUUCAGUUUAGUAUUCUAGUUAUAAAUGUGACAAAUUGAAAAGAUUUAAUUUUAUUAUCUAAAAUUUAAAAUUUUGAAUAUAAAUAUUUGAAUUAUUUAUCAUUCUGCAAACCAUUCUGCUUUCAUUUAAUUUUACAAAUAGAUUUUAUAUCCGUUUAUAAAUCCAAACAUAUCCAUUUAAUUUUAUCAGCAGAUUGCUUAUCUUUUUGCGAAUUAGUUUGUAUCUAUUUAAUUUUAUAAACGGAUUAAAAUAUGUUUGCAAAUCCAUUUGUAUCAAUUUAAUUUUACAAAUUAUACAUUCCUUUGUGAAUAUUUUAUAUCCAUUUAAUUUUAUAAAUAUAUUCUAUAUUAAUUUGUAUCCAUUUAAUUUUAUAAACGGAUUAUAUAGUCAUUUGCGAAUUAAUUUAUAUUUAUUUAAUUUUAUAAACAGAUUAUGCGUCCGUCUGCAAAUCAUUGUGUUCAUUUAAUUUUAUGAAUGGAUUACAUGUCUAUUUGUGAAUAAGUUUGUAUCGAUUUAAUUUUACAAAUAGAUUAUGUAUCCGUUCGAAAAUCAGUUUGUUUCCUUUAAUUUUAUAAACGGAUCAAACAUUUUUUUAUGAACCAAUUUGUAUCCAUUUAAUUUUACAAAUUGAUUAUAUGUCCCUUAGCAAAUAUAUUAGUGUCUAUUUAAUUUACAAACAAAUUAUAUAUCUAUUUAUAAAUUAAUUUGUAUUUAUUUAAUUUUAAAACGGAGUGUACAUCUAUUUACAAAUCCAUCCGUGUCAAUUUAUAAAAUUUUUACAAAUAAAUUAUACAUCCGUUUAUAAAUCAAUUUGUGAUGAGUUGUAAAACUUAUUAUUUUUUCAUAUUAAAUUCUAUAAUUUUGCUGUGAUUUUGAUGUAAAAAAUUGAUUUUUAUUUAAAAUUUGAUUUUAGACAGAUUUUGAGCUAAAAAUGAGAAAAAGAUCUAAAAGAAAUUGUUUUUAGAGUUUUUUUUUUUCCUGACUGCAAAGGUUCAGCCUUGCUCAAGGCUGUAACCCAAGCCAACAAACAGAUUCCAGGAUUACUACUGUUUCAAAUAGAUGCAAACAUAAUUAUAUCAAGAUUAGGAUAAAAGUCAUCAUAGGAGUAGUAGAUUUAUUUUACUUUUUUUUUAAUUAUGAAUAAUUAUUAUUUUUUAUUUGAAAAAAACCUAUAUAAAGGUUGCUCUAGAAGUAGAAUUUACCAUCUCUUCUCAUCAUCUCCUCUCUUUUUCGGUCCCUUCUUAGCUGAAUUCUUCCUCUUCUUCUUCUUUUAUUUUUUUGCAAUCUUAUUAUCACCUUUAGAGGCUAAACUAUUUUAUUCAGUUAAAAGUUAAUCAAAUUGAGAUGCAUUUAAAAUUGUGAGAUUAUGUUCUUAAUUUUUAUUUAUUUUAUUUUUAUUUUUAAUUAAUUUCUAUUUUUGAGAAAUAUCACCUCUAUAAUUGUCCUUUUAGAAUUAAAAGGGCUACAACGUAUUGUUAUUUAAUCCAAGUAAGUUAUAAUUGGGUUAAUACAAGUAGCAAUUAGCGUAUUCUUUAUGUUAAGUAAUUAAUUGAUUUGGUUUAAAUAAUUUCUUUGCUAUUAUUGACCAAAUUUGAGUUAUUCUCUUCUUACAGUAUUUUAAAUCUACACGCUUAAUCGGUGAGAUUCAUUUGUUUAAACACUAUAACCAAUAACAUCUUUUUAAUCAAUGAUGAACUGCAAACCUUUUAAUUUUGAUUACCUUCAGCUGAAUUUUAAUUUGAUUAUUUGUUUCAUCAUUUUAAUUGCAUUAUUUUCUUCUUUAAGUUUUCUUUUUAAAUCAAUUUCUCCAAUAAUGAUUUUAUUCUUUUCUUUUUUGUUUUAAAAUAUUCUUUUAUCCUACUUAUCAUCUAAUUUAAAUGAAGUUAAGGUAUCUAUAGAUAACCCUAUCUGUAUUUUUUUUAAAUUAAGUAAAAGAAAAUUAGUUUUAAUUAAUGUAUUCUACGCCUGUUUGUAUCUAUUAAAUUUUACAAAUGGAUUUUGUACUUGUUUACCAAUUCAUUUGCGUCCAUUUAAUUUUACAAACAUAUUAUAUAUCCAUUUAUAAAUUAAAUUGUUUUUAUUUAAUUUUACAAAUGUAUCAUUCAAAUACAUUCAUGUCUAAUGCUAAUUAUGUGAAAAAAAAAUCAAUAUAUCAAUUCUAUAUUUAAUCUUUAUGUUAAUUUAUAUUUCAAUCAAAUUUAUUUAUUUUUUUUAAUUUCAAUUUAAUACUUGAUGAGUUGCAAAAUUCACUAUUUUUUCAUAUUAAAUUCCAUUUUGUUAUGAUUUUGAUAUAAGCAAUUGAUUUUUACUUAAUUUUGAUUUUGAACUAAAGUUUUGAGCUGAAAAUGAGAAAAUGAACAAAAAGAUAUUAUUCUAGAACUUUUUCUAAUAAUAAGGUACAAUUUUACCUAAAAUUAUGACCUAACUUUGAUGGACAAAUUGUAAUAUUUUUUGUUUGCAAACUGUAGAGAGUUCAAAACUAUUUUCAGAUGCAAAUACAAUCAGAUCAAAAUUAAGAUAAGAAUUAUCAUAAGAGUAGUAGGUUAUUUUACUUUUUCUUUUAAAUGGUGAAUAAUUAUCUUUUUAUUUAAGAAAAUCCUAUAUAAAGGCUGGUUUAGAAGUAGAUCUCUCAUCUAUUCUUCUCUCCUCCACACCCUCUUUUCAGUUUCUCUUCAGCCGAGCGCUCCUUCCCCUUCUUUUAUUUUUUGCAAUUGUAUUAUAACCCUUAGAGGUUAAAGUUAUUUUACUUUUUCUUUUAAAAGGUUAAACUCCUUCAUUCAGUUAUUUUACUUUUUCUUUUAAAAGGUUAAACUCCUUCAUUCAGUUAUUUUACUUUUUCUUUUAAAAGGUGAAUAAUUAUCUUUUUAUUUAAGAAAAUCCUAUAUAAAGGCUGGUUUAGAAGUAGAUAUCUCAGCGCUCCUUCCCCUUCUUUUAUUUUUUGCAAUUUUGUUAUAAUCUUUAGAGCUAAACUCCUUUAUUCAAUUGAAGGUUAAUCAAGUUAGGUUUAAUUAAGUUGUGAGAUUUUAUUUUUAAUUUCUAUUCAUCUCAAUUUCUUUUUUCAAUUAAUUUAAUAAUACAACUUUCUUUAGAAAUUCAAGAGGUCUAUUAAAUCGAAUAAUAACAUAUUAUUAAUUAACCCAAAUAAAUAGGAAAUUAUUUAAUUGUGUUAAUACAAGUGUUAAUACAAGUAGCAAUUAAUAUAUUCUUUUAUGUUAAAAAAAAUAAUUGAUUUGAUUGAAAUAAUUCGCUUGCUAUCAUUGAUCAAAUUUGAGUUUUUUUCCUCUUAAAACUGUUAAUUAAUUAAAUCUAUACGCUUAUGAAAUUAUUAAUUAACUAGAAAUUAAUUUAAAUGUUAUAAAGAUUAAUUUAAUUUUAAAGAAUAAUAGGUGAAAUUUACUUAUUUAAGCAUUAUAACUAAAUGAUGAACAAUUGAGUAAAUAUUUUUUUAAAUUAAUGCAUUCGACGUGGGUCAAUAUAUUUUAAUUUUAAUUUUUAUUCCAUUUAUAUUCAUUUAAAUUAAUCAUUGAAUUUUAAAUUUUAUAAAUUCACCCUCUAAUUUAACCUUUAAUAUUUAUAAACUUAAACUUAUUAUUAAAAUUUUAUUUCAAUCUUUUCAAUUGUAAUUAAAUUUAUUUAUAAAUUAAAUUUUAAUUUAUAAACUUCCCAGAAACCAUAACCCAUCCCCGCUCUACACUGUUGUAAGGUACAGUUAUAAUAAUUUAAUAUUAUUAAAUAAUAUUUUUAUAUGAAAAAUUAAUAAAAAAAAUUACAAAAUGUGCUGCAUAUAAACAACUAGUAAUGCAUUUCCUUUCCCAAUUUCCUUUUGUUAUCCUUACCACUUUACCAGCUGGCAGAGAGCCUUCCUUUUCCGAUUCUCUUAUUUCCUCUCCUCAUUCCCAAUCUCCGAUCCAUCCCUAAAAACAACUGACGAGAGAUCGAUGAUGAUGAUGAUGAAGAUGCCUUGGAGGAGGAAGAGCAGGAGCUUCCAUCUUCAGCUACAAGGGGCAAUUGGUACCAUUCAAUCUCCAUUCCUAUUCUUAUUUACCAAUUAUUGCCAUUCCUCUACUUCCACACUUGAAGAUGCACGCUUCUUCACAAAUAACUUCAAAUCUGCUUCUUUUACCCACAUUGAUGAUGCCAUUGCUUCCUUUAAUCAUGUAAUUCAUAUGCAUCCUCUUCCUUCUAGGGCUCAAUUUAGUAGAUUCUUAUCUGCCCUUGUGAAAAUGAAACAAUAUCACACUGUCUUUUCCAUGUCCAAAACAAUUGAAUUGCUAGGAAUCUCACACGAUGUUUAUUCUCUUAGCAUCUUAAUUAAUUGCUUCUGCCACUUACACCUUGUGGAUUUGGGUUUCUCUGUUUUUGGUAAGAUGCUCAAAUUGGGAUUGGAGCCUGACGUUGUGACAUUUACUAC
This 13205-nucleotide long non-coding RNA is filed under the name Manihot esculenta (cassava). Its description in RNAcentral is "long non-coding RNA (MESC_LNC005136)". Lineage: Eukaryota; Viridiplantae; Streptophyta; Magnoliopsida; Malpighiales; Euphorbiaceae. The record is from RNAcentral.